GAUUAUCGCAUUUCAACUGAUACAAUUCCAAGAUAAAAGAUAGUUUGGAAAACUCAGUGCAACCUGGAUAUAACUGUUCUUCACCUUCUUUUAGACGGCGUAAGAACGAAUCGUCAUAUCUCUGCUCUGGAUCUUCGUCGACUGGAUCUACAUCGACUGGAUCUUCAUGGACAGGCUCGUAUUCGAGAGGUUCUGUUUCGAGAAAAUCUUCGUCGACUGUAUUGUCAACUACAUGUUCUCCGUAAACCGCACGAACCAAUCCAAUCAUAUCGUUACCAG
Molecule: long non-coding RNA, 279 nt
Filed under: Zostera marina
Lineage: Eukaryota; Viridiplantae; Streptophyta; Magnoliopsida; Alismatales; Zosteraceae
Description: long non-coding RNA (ZMAR_LNC004228)
Source: RNAcentral